RNAcentral lists this ribosomal RNA (252 nucleotides) under uncultured bacterium. Its description in RNAcentral is "partial 16S ribosomal RNA". It matches the Rfam family "Bacterial small subunit ribosomal RNA", at positions 524 to 776 of the family's 1533-position model. RNAcentral also lists the same sequence under 1 other name. The record is from RNAcentral.
UACGUAGGGGGCAAGCGUUGUCCGGAAUUAUUGGGCGUAAAGCGCGCGCAGGCGGCUCUUUAAGUCUGGUGUUUAAUCCCGAGGCUCAACUUCGGGUCGCACUGGAAACUGGGGAGCUUGAGUGCAGAAGAGGAGAGUGGAAUUCCACGUGUAGCGGUGAAAUGCGUAGAUAUGUGGAGGAACACCAGUGGCGAAGGCGACUCUCUGGGCUGUAACUGACGCUGAGGCGCGAAAGCGUGGGGAGCAAACAGG